AUUGAACGCUGGCGGCAUGCUUUACACAUGCGAGUCGAACGGUAACAGGCCGCAAGGUGCUGACGAGUGGCGAACGGGUGAGUAAUGCAUCGGAACGUGCCCAGUCGUGGGGGAUAACUACUCGAAAGAGUAGCUAAUACCGCAUACGAUCUAUGGAUGAAAGCGGGGGACCGUAAGGCCUCGCGCGAUUGGAGCGGCCGAUGUCAGAUUAGGUAGUUGGUGGGGUAAAGGCUCACCAAGCCAACGAUCUGUAGCUGGUCUGAGAGGACGACCAGCCACGCUGGGACUGAGACACGGCCCAGACUCCUACGGGAGGCAGCAGUGGGGAAUUUUGGACAAUGGGCGCAAGCCUGAUCCAGCAAUGCCGCGUGCAGGAAGAAGGCCUUCGGGUUGUAAACUGCUUUUGUACGGAACGAAACGGCUCUGGUUAAUACCCGGGGCUAAUGACGGUACCGUAAGAAUAAGCACCGGCUAACUACGUG
This 482-nucleotide ribosomal RNA is filed under the name uncultured bacterium. RNAcentral's name for it is "partial 16S ribosomal RNA". It matches the Rfam family "Bacterial small subunit ribosomal RNA", at positions 30 to 507 of the family's 1533-position model. The record is from RNAcentral.